RNAcentral lists this ribosomal RNA (434 nucleotides) under uncultured bacterium. RNAcentral describes it as "bacterial SSU rRNA". It matches the Rfam family "Bacterial small subunit ribosomal RNA", at positions 355 to 786 of the family's 1533-position model. The record is from RNAcentral.
UGAGGAAUAUUGGUCAAUGGGCGGAAGCCUGAACCAGCCAAGUCGCGUGAGGGAAGACGGUCCUAUGGAUUGUAAACCUCUUUUGUCGGGGAGCAAAGCCAGUCUCGUGGGACUGGAAGGAGAGUACCCGAAGAAAAAGCAUCGGCUAACUCCGUGCCAGCAGCCGCGGUAAUACGGAGGAUGCGAGCGUUAUCCGGAUUUAUUGGGUUUAAAGGGUGCGUAGGCGGAACCUUAAGUCAGCGGUAAAAUGUCGGUGCUCAACGCCGGCCGGCCGUUGAAACUGAGGUUCUUGAGUGAGCGAGAAGUAUGCGGAAUGCGUGGUGUAGCGGUGAAAUGCAUAGAUAUCACGCAGAACUCCGAUUGCGAAGGCAGCAUACCGGCGCUCAACUGACGCUGAGGCACGAAAGCGUGGGGAUCGAACAGGAUUAGAUACC